This 1373-nucleotide unclassified non-coding RNA is filed under the name Hevea brasiliensis (rubber tree). Lineage: Eukaryota; Viridiplantae; Streptophyta; Magnoliopsida; Malpighiales; Euphorbiaceae. The record is from RNAcentral.
AAAAAUGGGAAUUUGGGAUUUUCAGCUUCUCCUCCUUCCUUUCUUUCUCAUUCUGUAAACAUUGAAUUCAAAGACCCAAAAAAUGCAUAGACAAUCACUGAUUUCUCUCUUCAAGUUGCUCCGGAGACACCCUUUUCAACCUUCUACGCAACCCAUAUUUGCAUUUUCCAUCGAAUCGCUCUCACCGAUUCCGACUCGACUCGUUCCCAACUCACUCAUACCACUGAGCCCCAAAUUUCUUCACACUUCCACCUCAAAUCUUUACACACCUGCCCAUCCACUUCACCGUACCCUCCACGAUUGGUCCCCGACUUAUAAAACUCGGAGAAAGCAGAGUACUGAGUCAGGAGGUGACCCAGCUCCCGCGUUGGAUGUAAACAGAGAAGUGGACAUGAUAAAUCUCAAGUUUGCAGAAGCAAGAGAGGAGAUACAGAUGGCAAUGGAGUCAAAAGAGACUGUGUAUUUCAAUGAAGAGGCAGAGUGUGCACGGACUGCGGUGAAAGAAGUGCUGGACAUGUUUGAGGGACUAUUGGGGAAGUUGCCCGAGAGCGAAAAGGCGGCUUUGCAGAGGUCAAUGGGACUGAAGAUUGAGCAGUUGAAGGCUGAGCUUCAACAGUUGGAUGAUUAAUGAGGUUGGUGAUAGUGGGUACUAGCCGAUUUUCGUUUGGUGCAUUCUUUUUGGGGUUUUGGAUAAUGUAUUAGGUUUUCGCUGAGGUUAUAGAAUCAUUAGUGAAAAGGUUUAUGCGAUGGAAAGUUAAAGAGAGAUGAUUUUGAAUAAUGGAUUAGGAGUUUGUUCCUGAAGUUUAAUUAUCUUAUGGCACUAAUCAUAAUUUUUUUCAACCUUUGGAAUAAAACGAUUUUGUUUUGCUGUAACUUUUGAUCAUUUGCGAGUGGUAUAACACUAACAAUAGUUAUAUGCUUCUAAUGUGGUCAUGCUUUGAUGAAUUGAUGCUUAGUCUUACAUGCCAAAUGGUACUGUGAUGAAAAAAAGUGAGGAAAAAAUGUUGUGAGACAUCUUAUGUGAGAAGGUAACUCCUGAGAAUGCAAUUAUUGCAAUCGAACACUCAAUCUAAGUACGCUGCUGAUUGCAUUUUGUGAUCCAGUGACGAGAAGACCAAGUUUAUGGAAAGCCAAAGAAUCUAUCAUAUGAUGGAAGAGAUGUAUAUAUAUUAUAUAUAUAUACUCCAUUGAAAUUCUGUUAUGAUUCCACCAUUAUUAAUUGAGUGUAGUGGUUUUAGUGAUUUAUAUUAUCUAGAUUAUGUAUUUGUGAAAUAAACUGCCUUCUUUUGCAGUACAAGACAUGGUUAUUGUGAGAACUUUAUCAUAGUGCUGUAAUGCUUUAUUGCAAAAUGACGAUGAAGUGGAAAUAUGAG